Molecule: RNase P RNA, 375 nt
Filed under: bacterium
Lineage: Bacteria
Description: RNase P RNA component class A
Rfam family: Bacterial RNase P class A
About the family: Ribonuclease P (RNase P) is a ubiquitous endoribonuclease, found in archaea, bacteria and eukarya as well as chloroplasts and mitochondria. Its best characterised activity is the generation of mature 5'-ends of tRNAs by cleaving the 5'-leader elements of precursor-tRNAs.
Source: RNAcentral
UCCCUCGGCCGGACGGUCGCGACGUGGUGGCAGGAUUACUGCAUCGAGGAAAGUCCGGGCUCCAUGGACAAGUUGCCAGGUAACGCCUGGGCACCUCGUGAGAGGUGACGGAUAGUGCCACAGAGAAUGAGACCGCCUUCGGAAACGGAGGUAAGGGUGAAAAGGUGGGGUAAGAGCCCACCGCGUUCGUGGCAACACGGACGGCACGGUAAACCCCAGCUGGAGCAAGGCCGAAUAGGCGGUGAGCAGCAGUCCUCUGCGAUCAAGACACCGCGGGUAGGCCGCUAGAGGGUACGGGCGACCGUACUCCGAGAGAAAUGACCGUCCGGAGUCGCAAGGCUCUGACAAAACCCGGCUUAUAGGCCGAGGGAUUCC